GGUCCACGCGGACAGGCAGUUCCAGCUCCGGAAAAGGAAGAAUCAACACUUUCAGAGAUGGAGCCUGUUGAGCCACAGUACCAACUAGUCAAUGCUGAAUCGACUUCUCCCUUUCUACAUUGCCUGAGAGAAGUCAUUGGGGAAUACUCUGUACACGAAUUUUCACUGUUGGGGAAAACAGAGAGUCAAGGGAUUGGAUUGUGGAUUGCAUUGGUGGUUUUCCUCAGUUUCCUCAUCUUCUCCACAAGUUUCUACAUAUCGAAUGCAGAGCAGCCCUUCUUCAAAGGACCUCCUACGGAAGCUGCUAAGGAACUCAGUCUGUAGCUCUGCGUGGAGCCAUGUGUAAACACUGAACUGAGACCUGCCACCUCCUACUACCUAAGGGCCCAUUUUCAUCUGAUAUCAUCCCCCAGAAACAAACUCAUGAUGACUUCCAUGUUUUUUUUAGAUUAGAUACAUGGAGAAUUUUCCUUUCCCUUAGAAUUAAAAUCCUGCAUUCUAAUUUUCAGUAAGCUUUUUUAUUUCUGAAUAAUUUUAAAUUUAAAGAGAAGUUGCAAAGAUAGUAUAGAAUGUUCCCUUAUACCUGUUUUUAUUUAGAGUGAUGUUCCCAGGAGAAAUGAUAAUGCAGCAAUGGACAAGAACAGGAACAAGAGACAGUCUUACCAUCUUCUUACAAUUUAUAGAUGGGACAGUGGAAAGAGAAGCCACAUCGGGGUUGGGCAUGCAGAGACCUGGUCCUAAAUCUGUGUGACUUUUGCGAAAUCCUUUUGCCUCACAGAGCUCUAGGUUCUUAUCUGUCAAACAGGAACCAGACCAUCAGAUCCGUAGAGAUCCAACCAAUGAAGGAGACUUCGAAAACUUCACAUUGCCGUGUCAAUGUGAGGUUGCUGGAUGGUUAUGACAAGAAAUCACAUUAAAUUCACUGGGGUAACAUUGUUCAUGAAACGGGAUAAUGUGUUUCAGCGAUGAACCACCCAUGGCCUUACUACAGACAUAUUUCCACUUUGAAAAUGUGUGUGAGUGUACAUGUCUGUGUGUGAGGCAGAGAUUAGAAAGUGUAAAUGUGUGCGUUUUCAUUUUACACAUCUUACAUUUUCCUUUAAUUUGUUUGAAAGCCUGUUUUGUUUGUGGCUUCCAUUCCUGGAAGUCCCAUGAGUUGUUAGUGGUGAAGAUGGAACAGAUGUGUCCAACCCGGGGGACUCCUGCCCUCAGGGACUGAGCAGCUGCAAACCUCUCUCUCAUCUGAUUCCACUGUUUCUUCCACAUGUACACAUCAUGAGAAAUAUUGUUCAAUCAAUAUCUUCCCUUAAAUCAACUCAUAUGCUUAUUUACAUGAAUUUACCUAAAACAGAAACUUGAUAUCACUUCUGUAAAUGAAAAAAUUAAACUUUCUGGCUUUAAAUAAAGCAUAACAAUAAUAAUCAUGUCAAAA
Homo sapiens (human) is the source of this 1432-nucleotide long non-coding RNA. Ensembl annotates it as long intergenic non-protein coding RNA 943. NCBI's taxonomy places the organism in Eukaryota, Metazoa, Chordata, Mammalia, Primates, Hominidae. The record is from Ensembl.